AUCCUGAUCAGGUGGUGGGAAGGGGGGUGCUGGCUGCAGCCCCCCCCGCUUCGAGAUGGGGACACAGGUGGGCUUCUCGGAGCUCCAGUGUUGUGUCAGCCUGGGGUGUUGUGGCUUUGGCAAGGCUGUGGAACUGAGGCUGAUCCCUGGAGUGCUUGGCAGGGACGUGCUGGGGCUUCAGCAUCACCACCAGCACAGCCACCAGCACCACCAGCACAGCCACCAGCACCACCAGCACUGCCACCAGCACCAUCAGCACCACCACCAGCACCAAAACCACCACCACCAUCAUCACCACCACCAUCAGCAGCACUGACACCAGCACCACCAGCACCAAAAACACAACCACCAGCACCACCAUCACCGGUACCACCACCAUCAGCACCACCAGCACCACCAGCACCACCAGUACCAGCACCAGCAGCACCAGUAGCACCACCAACACCACCACCAGCACCCCUCUCCCAGCGCACAGCCCCCAGCAGCGGUCACGGUGCCUCAGCAUCCCCCGUGCGCCCCCCGCGCAUCCCCCCGCCGGUUUCCCCCCUCCUCUUUUUCAUCCCCCCCCCCCGGUGUUGCCGCAGCAACCGCGGCCGGGAGGCGGCGCCGAGCCCGGGGACGGCUGCGGGGGGCGGCGGGGCCGGCAGGGGGCAGCACCGGCACGGGGCUGGGGAGGGCUGGGGGCGGGCAGGGUGCAGGAUGGGUGCAGGAUGGGUGCAAGCUGGGUGCAAGCAGGAUGCAGGCAGGGGGCAGGCUGAAUGCAGGCAGGGUGCAGGAAGCAUUCAGGUUGGGUGCAAGCAGGAUGCAGGCUGGGUGCAGGCAGGGUGCAAGCAGAGUGCAAGCAAAAUGCAGGCUGGGUGCAAGGAAAAUGCAGGCUGGGUGCAAGCAAAAUGCAGGCUGAGUGCAAGGAAAAUGCAGGCUGGGUGCGAGGAACAUCCAGGCAGGGUGCAGGCUGAAUGCAGGCUUGGCACAAUCAGGAUACAGGCUGGGUGCAAUCAGGACACAGGCUGGGUGCAAGGAAAACGCAGGCUGGGUGCAAGCAGAAUGCAGGCAGGGUGCAGGCAGCAUGAGCACUGGGUGCAGGUGGGAUACAGGCUAGGUGCAGGAAGAAUGCAGGUUGGUUGCAGGCUGGAUACAGGCUGGGUUUAUGCCCAGAGAGGCUGUGGAGUCUCCUUCUCUGGAGGUAUUCAAAAGCUGCCUGGGUGCCAUCCUUUGCAGUGUGCUCUAGGUGAUCCUGCUCUGUUGGGGGGUUGGACUGAAUGA
Molecule: long non-coding RNA, 1263 nt
Filed under: Anas platyrhynchos platyrhynchos (common mallard)
Lineage: Eukaryota; Metazoa; Chordata; Aves; Anseriformes; Anatidae
Description: lncRNA (ENSAPLG00000030897.1)
Source: RNAcentral